CCCGCCAAAAUUUGGGUUUUAAGGCAAAAUAUUUAUUUUUCCUUAUCCGUGACCUAUGUUUUUUAUUUGCUCAUUUUUUGAAGCUAUAGUUCAGCUUUUAUAUUACAGUUUUGGACCAAGUGUCAUAGAACGUUUUUUUGAUAUUCCGAUAAAAAUAUGUCAACACCUCUAUUUUCCCUAUCAUUUCAUUGAAAAAUGGCCCCUUUUACAUACCUGUUUAAAAGUAAAAUUUUGAACUUAAAAGGUCCGUGACCCCCUAUUUUUUUUUCGACCAAUUGGAUUCACUUUCUGUAAAGAAUAAAAUAACAAAAAAUACGGCACUUCUGAUAGAAACUUCGAAUAGGCCCGAGC
RNAcentral lists this long non-coding RNA (351 nucleotides) under Mytilus galloprovincialis (Mediterranean mussel). Lineage: Eukaryota; Metazoa; Mollusca; Bivalvia; Mytilida; Mytilidae. The record is from RNAcentral.